UAACACGUAGGUAACCUGCCCAUGUGCCCGGGAUAACUUCUGGAAACGGAUGCUAAAACCGGAUAGGUAGCAGACAAGCAUUUGACUGCUAUUAAAGUGGCUAAGGCCAUGAACAUGGAUGGACCUGCGGUGCAUUAGCUAGUUGGUGAGGUAACGGCCCACCAAGGCGACGAUGCAUGGCCGGCCUGAGAGGGCGGACGGCCACAUUGGGACUGAGACACGGCCCAAACUCCUACGGGAGGCAGCAUG
This 249-nucleotide ribosomal RNA is filed under the name uncultured bacterium. Its description in RNAcentral is "partial 16S ribosomal RNA". It matches the Rfam family "Bacterial small subunit ribosomal RNA", at positions 111 to 353 of the family's 1533-position model. The record is from RNAcentral.